Long non-coding RNA from Micropterus dolomieu (smallmouth bass), 289 nucleotides. RefSeq lists it as uncharacterized. The record is from RefSeq and is a predicted model, not a curated record. Lineage: Eukaryota; Metazoa; Chordata; Actinopteri; Centrarchiformes; Centrarchidae. The transcript is spliced from 3 exons.
UGUCACGCCUGUAAUUUACUUAGAACUUACAGUAGUGUUUGUAAUCAGUGUUUGGACAUCUUGGGUUGGAGGACAGAUGACAGAAAACGUGUCGCAUUUUCUCCAGCAAACUUUUUAUACACAGACGGCAACGCACAUUUUACUGACCGUUUCACCGAUGAUUCAGCGGAGCUGAGGAGCGAUGCUAUCAGCAUUGCUGAAACGAAAGGAAAGACCUGAAUCUGUGGAGGCCAGUCAUUAUUAAACAGCUGUACUUGACUGCAGCUUCUUCCACUCUAACUGAGAUGUG